GAUCAUGGCUCAGGAUGAACGCUGGCGGCGUGCUUAACACAUGCAAGUCGAGCGAAGCACCUAAGAAAGAUUCUUCGGAUGAAUUCUUUUGUGACUGAGCGGGCGGACGGGUGAGGUAACGCGUGGGUAACCUGCCUCAUACAGGGGGAUAACAGUUAGAAAUGACUGCUAAUACCGCAUAAGACCACGGUACCGCAUGGUACAGUGGUAAAAACUCCGGUGGUAUGAGAUGGACCCGCGU
Molecule: ribosomal RNA, 241 nt
Filed under: uncultured bacterium
Lineage: Bacteria
Description: partial 16S ribosomal RNA
Rfam family: Bacterial small subunit ribosomal RNA
Source: RNAcentral